GACGAACGCUGGCGGCGUGCUUAACACAUGCAAGUCGAACGAUGAAGAAGAGAAACGCGAACUUCGGUUCAAAUUUCACUUCGGAUUAGUGGCAGACGGGUGAGUAACGCGUGAGCAACCUACCUCUUACAAAGGGAUAGCCUCGGGAAACCGUGAUUAAUACCAUAUGACACAUUCAUAAGGCAUCUUAAGAAUGUUAAAGCUACGGCGGUAAGAGAUGGGCUCGCGUCCCAUUAGCUAGUUGGUGAGGUAACGGCCCACCAAGGCGACGAUGGGUAACCGGCCUGAGAGGGUGAACGGUCACAUUGGAACUGAGACACGGUCCAAACUCCUACGGGAGGCAGCAGUGGGGAAUAUUGCACAAUGGAGGGAACUCUGAUGCAGCGACGCCGCGUGAGCGAUGAAGGAAUUCGUUCCGUAAAGCUCUGUUCUAUGGGAAGAAAAGGACUGUACCAUAGGAGAAAGCCCCGGCUAAAUACGUG
Molecule: ribosomal RNA, 482 nt
Filed under: uncultured bacterium
Lineage: Bacteria
Description: partial 16S ribosomal RNA
Rfam family: Bacterial small subunit ribosomal RNA
Source: RNAcentral